Molecule: unclassified non-coding RNA, 200 nt
Filed under: Helotiales sp.
Lineage: Eukaryota; Fungi; Ascomycota; Leotiomycetes; Helotiales
Description: partial internal transcribed spacer 2
Source: RNAcentral
UUAAGUUCAGCGGGUAUCCCUACCUGAUCCGAGGUCAACCUUUAAAAUUUGGGGUUACUGGCAAGUAUCCAAUAGACAUCCAUAGCGAGAAAAAUUACUACGCUUAGAGCCUAAUGGCACCGCCACUGAUUUUAAGGCCCGUCAGUAAUAGACGAGGCCCAAUACCAAGCAGAGCUUGAGGGUUGCAAUGACGCUCGAAC